RNAcentral lists this transfer RNA (73 nucleotides) under Candidatus Melainabacteria bacterium HGW-Melainabacteria-1. Its description in RNAcentral is "tRNA-Val". It matches the Rfam family "tRNA". From Rfam's summary of the family: Transfer RNA (tRNA) molecules are approximately 80 nucleotides in length. Their secondary structure includes four short double-helical elements and three loops (D, anti-codon, and T loops). Further hydrogen bonds mediate the characteristic L-shaped molecular structure. tRNAs have two regions of fundamental functional importance: the anti-codon, which is responsible for specific mRNA codon recognition, and the 3' end, to which the tRNAs corresponding amino acid is attached (by aminoacyl-tRNA synthetases). tRNAs cope with the degeneracy of the genetic code in two manners: having more than one tRNA (with a specific anti-codon) for a particular amino acid; and 'wobble' base-pairing, i.e. permitting non-standard base-pairing at the 3rd anti-codon position. The record is from RNAcentral. Lineage: Bacteria; Bacillati; Candidatus Melainabacteria.
GGGCGCUUAGCUUAGCUGGUAGAGCGCAGCCUUCACACGGCUGAGGUCACUGGUUCGAGUCCAGUAGCGCCCA